AGAUGUGAGAGACACCUGACGGCAACACUUUUCACUCCUAUAUCACCAGGGUUGGAUUAACUACUUGCUAGGUGACCACAUGCUCCCUUCCCUUCUCCUUCCUCUUUGGCCUCUUGUGUGUUCCUCUGCANUUUGUCUACUCUGUGGAAGAGGAUGACCUUCCCCAAUGUUCUUUGGUUGAGGGUAUAUAAGGAGUUGCUCAACCCUACUAGAACCUCCAAGCAAUCUCUUAAAGUCAUUUUGUAGGAGAAAGUGGGUAGUUAAGCUUCCAAGACUUCAGACACAAAGAAAUGAAAUGUUACAUCAAGGCAUCUGGCUUU
Molecule: small nuclear RNA, 320 nt
Filed under: Neotoma lepida (desert woodrat)
Lineage: Eukaryota; Metazoa; Chordata; Mammalia; Rodentia; Cricetidae
Description: 7SK RNA
Rfam family: 7SK RNA
About the family: 7SK was discovered as an abundant small nuclear RNA in the mid-70s but a possible function has only recently been suggested. Two independent studies have found that 7SK RNA binds the CDK9/cyclin T complex (known as elongation factor P-TEFb).
Source: Rfam by way of RNAcentral